Entelurus aequoreus (snake pipefish) is the source of this 149-nucleotide long non-coding RNA. RefSeq lists it as uncharacterized. NCBI's taxonomy places the organism in Eukaryota, Metazoa, Chordata, Actinopteri, Syngnathiformes, Syngnathidae. The transcript is spliced from 3 exons. The record is from RefSeq and is a predicted model, not a curated record.
UGAGCAAAUACUGACUGACGGAACAUGAGAGGUUUUCAUCUCAGCCAGAGGCCACACUCACUCCACUCUGCUUAUAUCCAAGCCUCAACUCUGCUGAUGACUCAUCUCCUUGCCUUAUUAGACUUCCCAUGCUAUCGGCAUGCUGGUGC